UCCGACUGNUUUAACAAAAACAUAACCUUUAGNNNCUNNAUAACAAGUAUUAAAGGCAACGCCUGCCCAGUGAACAAUUAAACGGCCGCGGUACCCUAACCGUGCAAAGGUAGCGUAAUCACUUGUCUAUUAAUUGUAGACCCGUAUGAAAGGCAAAAUGAGGGCCUGACUGUCUCUUAUAAUAAAUCAAUUAAACUGAUCUCCCAGUACAAAAGCUGGAAUACAAACAUAAGACCAGAAGACCCUGUGAAGCUUAAACCAAACUAUUAAAUCAAAUAAUAGCUCCUUUCGGUUGGGGCGACCUUGGAAAAAAAAAGAACUUCCAAAAGGCUGACAAGCCAAAUUUAACNNGACCCAGUNNACAGCUGAUAAUCGAACCAAGUUACUCCAGGGAUAACAGCGCUAUCCUCUUCAAGAGCCCAUAUCAAAAAGAGGGUUUACGACCUCGAUGUUGGAUCAGGACAUCCUAAUGGUGCAGCAGCUAUUAAGGGUUCGUUUGUUCAMCGAUUAACAGUCCYACGUGAUCUGAGUUNCARACCGGAGA
This 544-nucleotide ribosomal RNA is filed under the name Atractaspis microlepidota (small-scaled burrowing asp). Its description in RNAcentral is "partial 16S ribosomal RNA". It matches the Rfam family "Bacterial large subunit ribosomal RNA", at positions 1795 to 2622 of the family's 2925-position model. Lineage: Eukaryota; Metazoa; Chordata; Lepidosauria; Squamata; Atractaspididae. The record is from RNAcentral.